Molecule: long non-coding RNA, 544 nt
Filed under: Pan troglodytes (chimpanzee)
Lineage: Eukaryota; Metazoa; Chordata; Mammalia; Primates; Hominidae
Description: long non-coding RNA NONPTRT002757
Source: RNAcentral
GCAGUGAGCUGAGACUGCGACAUUGCACUCCAGCCUGGGCGACAGAGCAAGACUCUGUCUCAAAAAAAAAGAAAAAGAAAACUUGUUUCACAUCUAUUUCAUUGAAUUGUGUGUACACGCACACACACACACGUUUAUUUGUAAAUAUUUUGUAUGUGCCAAUAACCAAAUUGACAAAGUUUCAUAUAUUUUGUUGUAUAAUUUUAACAUCAUCCAAGGAAACAAUCCACUGUGCUUACAGUUUUGGAACUUCUAAAUCUUUAAAUACAAACUGUAUUUGAAACACUGAAAAUGAAAAAAAGACACAAGAAUGAAAGAGAAAACUGAAAACAUUAGGUAAUUAAAACCAACAUGAGAAAAACUUAAACAUUUCAAUGAAAUAAAGCUAAAUUCAUAAAGCAUGAACAUAGCAGUAGUUCUCAUUUUGCUCACAGUUCUAAAAAUGCAAAUUCUCCCCAACUUCUUAGAGCAUGACAGGUUUUCAGCUGGCAAUCUUUCCAUGUUUACAUAAGAAGCUAGAAUUGAUCAUAUGGUUUUACAGUGC